UGUUUAAUUAAAACAAAGCAUUGCGAUGGCCGGAAACGGUGUUGACGCAAUGU
RNAcentral lists this ribosomal RNA (53 nucleotides) under Nematostella vectensis (starlet sea anemone). RNAcentral describes it as "Eukaryotic large subunit ribosomal RNA". Lineage: Eukaryota; Metazoa; Cnidaria; Anthozoa; Actiniaria; Edwardsiidae. The record is from Rfam by way of RNAcentral.